UGAAUACGAGAUGCUACGGCAUCGAAGCAGUCUAUGUCAUACUUCCAAGAAAAGCUCGCACUGUCAUAAACAAAAUAAUGCCUGUACCAUAACCGACACAGGUGGGUAGGUAGAGUAUACUAAGGGGCGCGAGAUAACUCUCUCUAAGGAACUCGGCAAAAUGACUCCGUAACUUCGGGAGAAGGAGUGCCUUAUUUUAAGGUUGCAAUAACCAGAUCCAAGCAACUGUUUAUCAAAAACACAGGUCUCCGCAAAGUCGUAAGACGAUGUAUGGGGGCUGACGCCUGCCCAGUGCCAGAAGGUUAAAGAAGUUGGUUAGCAUUGCGAAGCUAAUGACUGAAGCCCUGGUGAACGGCGGCCGUAACUAUAACGGUCCUAAGGUAGCGAAAUUCCUUGUCGGGUAAGUUCCGACCCGCACGAAAGGCGUAAUGAUUUGGAUACUGUCUCAGAGAGGGGCUCGGUGAAAUAGACUUGUCUGUGAAGAUGCGGACUACCUGCACCUGGACAGAAAGACCCUAUGAAGCUUUACUGUAACUUGAAAUUGAAAUUGGACUUUAUUUGCGCAGCAUAGGUGGGAGGCGUUGAAGAUCUUCUUGCGGGAAAAUCGGAGCCAUCAGUGAGAUACCACUCUUGUAAUGUUAGAUUUCUAACUUUGAAUCAUUAUCUGGUCAAAGAACAGUUUCAGGCGGGCAGUUUGACUGGGGCGGUCGCCUCCUAAACGGUAACGGAGGCGCACAAAGGUUUCCUCUGAACGGGUAGAAAUCGUAUCUAGAGUGUAAAGGCAUAAGGAAGCUUGACUGUGAGACCUACAAGUCGAGCAGGGACGAAAGUCGGUCUUAGUGAUCUGACGGUGCUGAGUGGAAAGGCCGUCACUCAACGGAUAAAAGUUACUCUAGGAUAACAGGCUGAUCUCCCCCAAGAGUUCACAUCGACGGGGAGGUUUGGCACCUCGAUGUCGGCUCAUCGCAUCCUGGGGCGGUAGUACGUCCCAAGGGUUGGGCUGUUCGCCCAUGAAAGCGGUACGCGAGCUGGGUUCAGAACGUCGUGAGACAGUUCGGUCCAUAUCCGGUGUAGGCGUUAGAAUAUUGAGAGGAGCCUUCUUUAGUACGAGAGGACCGAGAAGGACAUACCUAUGGUGUACCAGUUAUCGUGCCAACGGUAAACGCUGGGUAGCUAUGUAUGGAGUGGAUAACCGCUGAAAGCAUCUAAGUGGGAAGCCCACCUCAAGAUAAG
Molecule: ribosomal RNA, 1233 nt
Filed under: metagenome
Description: bacterial LSU rRNA
Rfam family: Bacterial large subunit ribosomal RNA
Source: RNAcentral